RNAcentral lists this long non-coding RNA (490 nucleotides) under Salmo salar (Atlantic salmon). RNAcentral's name for it is "lncRNA (ENSSSAG00000119483.1)". The record is from RNAcentral. Lineage: Eukaryota; Metazoa; Chordata; Actinopteri; Salmoniformes; Salmonidae.
CUCUGAGCUUAACAACAUUUUCUAAAUCAUUAUUGUUAUUAUUAUUAAAAGGCUAAAGACAAACGUUUAAAAAUAAAUCACUUCUAUGAAAAGGUAAAAUCCGUCCAAAAUUAAGUAACUCUUAAAAAUAUUGUCCUCCCAGCUAUAAUGGUAUAUGUCUCACUCUGCUGGUAUUGAUGGAUGGUAUAGGUCUCACACUCUGCUGGUAUUGAUGGAUGGUAUAGGUCUCACUCUGCUGGUAUUGAUGGAUGGUACAGGUCUCACUCUGCUGGUAUUGAUGGAUGGUAUAGGUCUCACACUCUGCUGGUAUUGAUGGAUGGUAUAGGUCUCACACUCUGCUGGUAUUGAUGGAUGGUAUAGGUCUCACACUCUGCUGGUAUUGAUGGAUGGUAUAGGUCUAGGUCACACUCUUCUGGUAUUGAUGGAUGGUAUAGGUCUCACACUCUGCUGGUAUUGAUAGAUGCUUAUGUACUGAAGUAUGAGAUAGAGA